AUACAUACUUAUGUAUACUAGAAAACUAGUUGUAGACUAUGUAAAAUUUAAACUUUUAAUUUAAAUUGACGAUUAAAAUUCUACUCUCAGGUGUCGUUCUUGGGUCAAAGCAGUUGGGAAUGAAGACUGCUUACAUACCCGUUAAAAAAUUGCAUGAAAUUAAAUAUUUGUGUGGAUAUCACUUUGAAAAAAAGUAUUUUAAUACAAAGGGCAAUAGAUUAAUUAAAAAUGCUAUUCCAACAUUAAAUUUGCCACAACCAUUGGAUGACAGUCUUUUGGUAGAUUUUCCUUUAUAUGGUGAAGAAAAAGAAAAAUCUCAAGUCUUGAAAGUUUUCAAGAUAUAACAAAUUCAGAGAAUGUGCAAUGAAAUGAAAAUAUUUUAUCUAAAAAUGCUGAAUACAGCUUUCUCCCUUUGCCCUCUACUUCGCAGGCACCACAAGGACUUACUUUUGAAAAAACACUAGAUUCUACAUUAACUGAACGUGAGAAGAUCCUGCUGAGUCAUUUGACUCAAACUAAAUUAAGCUUAAAGCCUUUGGCAGUCGAAAUGCGAACUGUGAGGAAGACACUAAUAAAUUGUUUGUAGCUUAUAACAAUAUUAGCGGGGUCCGCACUGACAUGCCUAAUAGAAAUAAUAAUGAUGACAUUCAAGUUGUUGAUGAGAUAGUUUAUCCUGUUUUGUCUCUGCCCAAUGAAAUUGAUUUCUUUUUAUAUGAAAAUGAUUUAUGUAACUUUUUGGAGCAGCCAGUAGUAUAUGUUAGUGUUUAUUUAGCUGCAAAAUUAUUAGAUAGAACGAAAUGUCAGUAAUGUAAAGAUUCGUUAAAAGUUGAUAAACCAGUAGACGACUUAAACAAUUAUAUUAGUUUUAAAGAAUGGUGGAAAGAUUCGA
Melitaea cinxia (Glanville fritillary) is the source of this 889-nucleotide long non-coding RNA. RefSeq lists it as uncharacterized. NCBI's taxonomy places the organism in Eukaryota, Metazoa, Arthropoda, Insecta, Lepidoptera, Nymphalidae. The transcript is spliced from 4 exons. The record is from RefSeq and is a predicted model, not a curated record.